This 429-nucleotide ribosomal RNA is filed under the name uncultured bacterium. RNAcentral describes it as "bacterial SSU rRNA". It matches the Rfam family "Bacterial small subunit ribosomal RNA", at positions 355 to 775 of the family's 1533-position model. The record is from RNAcentral.
CGGGGAAUAUUGGACAAUGGGGGGAACCCUGAUCCAGCCAUGCCGCGUGUGUGAAGAAGGCCUUUUGGUUGUAAAGCACUUUAAGCGAGGAGGAGGCUACUCUAGUUAAUACCUAGGGAUAGUGGACGUUACUCGCAGAAUAAGCACCGGCUAACUCUGUGCCAGCAGCCGCGGUAAUACAGAGGGUGCGAGCGUUAAUCGGAUUUACUGGGCGUAGAGCGUGCGUAGGCGGCUUUUUAAGUCGGAUGUGAAAUCCCUGAGCUUAACUUAGGAAUUGCAUUCGAUACUGGGAAGCUAGAGUAUGGGAGAGGAUGGUAGAAUUCCAGGUGUAGCGGUGAAAUGCGUAGAGAUCUGGAGGAAUACCGAUGGCGAAGGCAGCCAUCUGGCCUAAUACUGACGCUGAGGUACGAAAGCAUGGGGAGCAAACAG